GAUGUAGAUAGAGGUUGCAUUUUUCAUGAGUAGAUGGUUGGAUGUUCAGGAGCAGAUGAAGGCUUUUGAAAGGGAAAGAUGCCGAAAAAAUACAAGACCUGAGCUUGUGUUUUUGGGCAUGUCAUUAAGAGUGGCAUGACUGUCAUCGCAGGAUGGAGUGCUAUCUGAUAG
Firmicutes bacterium CAG:227 is the source of this 171-nucleotide regulatory RNA element. It matches the Rfam family "Lysine riboswitch aptamer". Rfam says of the family: Riboswitches are metabolite binding domains within certain messenger RNAs that serve as precision sensors for their corresponding targets. The record is from Rfam. Lineage: Bacteria; Bacillati; Bacillota.